Molecule: transfer RNA, 73 nt
Filed under: Camelus ferus (Wild Bactrian camel)
Lineage: Eukaryota; Metazoa; Chordata; Mammalia; Artiodactyla; Camelidae
Rfam family: tRNA
About the family: Transfer RNA (tRNA) molecules are approximately 80 nucleotides in length. Their secondary structure includes four short double-helical elements and three loops (D, anti-codon, and T loops).
Source: Rfam by way of RNAcentral
GGUGUAUACAGCUCAGUGGUACAGCACAUGCUUAGCAAGCAUGAGGUCCUGGGUUCAACCCCCAGUACCUCCA